UACAGAGGUGGCAAGCGUUGUUCGGAAUUACUGGGCGUAAAGGGCGCGUAGGCGGCCCGUCAAGUCCCGUGUGAAAGCCCCCGGCUCAACCGGGGAACUGCACGGGAAACUAGCAGGCUUGAGUUCGGGAGAGGGAAGCGGAAUUUCGGGUGUAGCGGUGAAAUGCGCAGAUAUCCGAAGGAACACCGGUGGCGAAGGCGGCUUCCUGGACCGUCACUGACGCUGAGGCGCGAAAGCUAGGGGAGCAAACGGG
This 253-nucleotide ribosomal RNA is filed under the name uncultured bacterium. Its description in RNAcentral is "partial 16S ribosomal RNA". It matches the Rfam family "Bacterial small subunit ribosomal RNA", at positions 524 to 776 of the family's 1533-position model. The record is from RNAcentral.